Molecule: ribosomal RNA, 325 nt
Filed under: Mus musculus (house mouse)
Lineage: Eukaryota; Metazoa; Chordata; Mammalia; Rodentia; Muridae
Description: SSU rRNA
Rfam family: Eukaryotic small subunit ribosomal RNA
Source: RNAcentral
AUUAGUGAGAAUAAUAACCCUUUAUUAUAGCACGUUUUAAUAUAGAUAGUUCUUUUAAGUUUCUGCCCCAUCAGCUUUUGAUGGUAGUGUAUUGGGGUCCCAUGGCAGUAACGGGUAACGAAGAAUUUGGGUUCGAUUUCGGAGAGGGAGCCCGAGAGAUGGGUACCACAUCCAAGGAAGGCAGCAGGCGCGUAAAUUACCCAAUCCCGACACAGGGAGGUAGUGACAAUAAAUCACAAUGCGGGACUAUUUAGUUUUGCAAUUGGAUUGAGAACAAUGUACAAGAGUUAUCGAUAAACAAUUGGAGGGCAAGUCUGGUGCCAGC